This 848-nucleotide ribosomal RNA is filed under the name uncultured bacterium. RNAcentral's name for it is "bacterial SSU rRNA". It matches the Rfam family "Bacterial small subunit ribosomal RNA", at positions 60 to 907 of the family's 1533-position model. The record is from RNAcentral.
AGUCGAGGGGCAGCGGGGGUAGCAAUACCCGCCGGCGACCGGCGCACGGGUGAGUAACGCGUAUGCAACCUGCCCUUCACAGGGGGAUAACCGGGAGAAAUUCCGACUAAUACCGCAUACGUCCUCCGGGGGCAUCCCCGGGGGAUGAAAGAAUUAUCGGUGAAGGAUGGGCAUGCGUGAUAUUAGGUAGUUGGCGGGGCAACGGCCCACCAAGCCCACGAUAUCUAGGGGUUCUGAGAGGAAGGUCCCCCACAUUGGUACUGAGACACGGACCAAACUCCUACGGGAGGCAGCAGUGAGGAAUAUUGGUCAAUGGACGAGAGUCUGAACCAGCCAAGUCGCGUGAAGGAAGACGGAUCUAUGGUUUGUAAACUUCUUUAGUGCGGGAACAAAGCGGCGUCGUGACGCCUGAUGAGUGUACCGCAAGAAUAAGCAUCGGCUAACUCCGUGCCAGCAGCCGCGGUAAUACGGAGGAUGCGAGCGUUAUCCGGAUUUAUUGGGUUUAAAGGGAGCGCAGGCUGCGAGGCAAGUCAGCGGUCAAAUGUCGGGGCUCAACCCCGGCCUGCCGUUGAAACUGUCCUGCUAGAGUUCGAGUGAGGUAUGCGGAAUGCGUUGUGUAGCGGUGAAAUGCAUAGAUAUGACGCAGAACUCCGAUUGCGAAGGCAGCAUACCAACUCGCGACUGACGCUGAGGCUCGAAAGCGUGGGUAUCGAACAGGAUUAGAUACCCUGGUAGUCCACGCAGUAAACGAUGAAUACUAACUGUUCGGAGGGCGACCUCUGAGUGGUAAAGCGAAAGCGUUAAGUAUUCCACCUGGGGAGUACGCCGGCAACGGUGAAACUCAAAGG